CGGGGGACGGACUGGGAAC
Molecule: small nuclear RNA, 19 nt
Filed under: Arabidopsis thaliana (thale cress)
Lineage: Eukaryota; Viridiplantae; Streptophyta; Magnoliopsida; Brassicales; Brassicaceae
Description: snRNA_05310
Source: RNAcentral